CCUACGGGCGGCAGCAGUGAGGAAUUUUCCGCAAUGGACGCAAGUCUGACGGAGCAACGCCGCGUGCAGGAUGAAGGUUUUCGGAUCGUAAACUGCUUUUCUCGGGGACGAGCAAGGACGGUACCCGAGGAAGAAGCCCCGGCUAACUACGUGCCAGCAGCCGCGGUAAUACGUAGGGGGCGAGCGUUGUCCGGAUUUAUUGGGCGUAAAGCGCACGCAGGCGGUGCGGUAAGUUUGGGGUGACAGCGGCCGGCUUAACCGGUCGAGUGUCCCAAAGACUGCCGCACUUGAGGGCCAAAGAGGAACACAGAAUUCCGGGUGUAGUGGUGAAAUGCGUAGAUAUCCGGAGGAAUACCAAAGGCGAAGGCAGUGUUCUGGGUGGCUCCUGACGCUCAGGUGCGAAAGCUAGGGGAGCGAACGGGAUUAGAUACCCCUGUAGUC
RNAcentral lists this ribosomal RNA (441 nucleotides) under uncultured bacterium. Its description in RNAcentral is "bacterial SSU rRNA". It matches the Rfam family "Bacterial small subunit ribosomal RNA", at positions 338 to 795 of the family's 1533-position model. The record is from RNAcentral.